UACGUAGGGGGCAAGCGUUGUCCGGAUUUAUUGGGCGUAAAGAGCGUGUAGGCGGCCAGGUAGGUCUGCUGUGAAAACUCGAGGCUUAACCUCGAGAUGUCGGCGGAAACCAUCUGGCUAGAGUCCGGAAGAGGAGAAUGGAAUUCCCGGUGUAGCGGUGAAAUGCACAGAUAUCGGGAAGAACACCCGUGGCGAAGGCGGUUCUCUGGGACGGUACUGACGCUGAGACGCGAAAGCGUGGGGAGCGAACAGG
This 253-nucleotide ribosomal RNA is filed under the name uncultured bacterium. RNAcentral describes it as "partial 16S ribosomal RNA". It matches the Rfam family "Bacterial small subunit ribosomal RNA", at positions 524 to 776 of the family's 1533-position model. The record is from RNAcentral.